RNAcentral lists this ribosomal RNA (254 nucleotides) under uncultured bacterium. RNAcentral's name for it is "partial 16S ribosomal RNA". It matches the Rfam family "Bacterial small subunit ribosomal RNA", at positions 524 to 776 of the family's 1533-position model. The record is from RNAcentral.
CACGUAGGGGGCAAGCGUUGUCCGGAUUUAUUGGGCGUAAAGAGCUCGUAGGUGGUUCGGUAAGUCGGGUGUGAAAACUCUGGGCUCAACUCAGAGACGCCACCCGAUACUGCUGUGACUUGAGUCUGGUAGGGGAGUGUGGAAUUCCCAGUGUAGCGGUGAAAUGCGCAGAUAUUGGGAGGAACACCAGUGGCGAAGGCGGGUCUCUGGGCCGAUACUGACGCUGAGGAGCGAAAGCGUGGGGAGCGAACAGG